UUCAUGAAUGUAUUUUAUUUUUCAACCUCGCCCGUCAAAGUUAGUAGCCGGAUCUGAACACCUGAUUGAGCCAAUACAGUAGGCUGCUAAAGACUGCUAUUAUGGUUAUGUCAUGCUGGUUUCACAAUCAACAGCUAUUUGACUAAUUUAAAGAGCAUACGACACGAGAAAAAAAGUCUUAAAUGGCAUUAUUAUGUGAAUUAGAAUCAUAUUUUGAGACGAUUCGACUAUAUACAACAAUUUAGCAAAGCACAGAUGACGAGAAAUUAGCCUUUUAAUCUGCCAGUUAGCCACGCCUACCAUUAUAGGGCUUUAGCGUCCCCAACAGGUGGAUGACGUCAGCGGUAGACUGGUCUCAUCGAUUUUACUAUUCAGCCCAUUGAGGGGGAAUUAUUCAGAACGAGGAAAACGCGACGAAGAAAGCCGCCAAAUGUCAUUGUUUCAGUCUCUCUACUCCAAUAUUUUUACAGGAUAUUCUUUUUAUCCAAGUAUUUUUCCCCAAUAGCAAUAUAAAUGGCUUGAGAAGGACCAGUCAGCCCGUCGAGGGAGACCUAUUCAGAACGAGGAAAACGCGACGAAGAGAGCAGCAAAAUGUCAUUGUUUCUGUCUCUUUACUUCAAUAUUUUUACAGGAUAUUCUUUUUAUCCAAGUAUUUUUCCCCAAUAGCUAUAUAAAUGGCUUGAGAAGGACCAGUCAGCCCGUCGAGGGGGAACUAUUCACAAUGAGGAAAACGCGACGAAGAGAGCGGCAAAAUGUCAUUGUUUCUGUCUCUUUACUUCAAUAUUUUUACAGGAUAUUCUUUUUAUCCAAGUAUUUUCCCCAAUUGCUAAAUAAAUGGCAUGGUCAUGACAAAUAACAGUCUUGUGCUGAAUGGAAUAUGAAAUAAUAAAAAUGCAUUUAUUCAGGACGACAUGGCAAAAUUACUCCAUAAUGGUCAAAACUGUCGACUUCACCUUUACUGUCGCACCUCCCGAACUAUAUUUUAUGACACCUAAAUCGGACAUAUGUCAUUUCCCUUCCCCGGCUUCGGAGAAUGUAAACAAACCAGAAGGCGUGACAGCUAGCCGACAUGCUAACCCGAACCGAGUGAUGUUUCAAAGUCUUCAAAACGGAAAAUCACACAUAACUAUCCUGGAUUAUUUGACAUGACGACCCGGUUGUCUAUUGUUGUCGCGGAUCGGCAAACCGCCCGGCGGAGAGCAAUUUACAGUUCGUUCCCCGGAGGAGGGUGGCUGGAGUUGUUGUGGAGCUAACGGGCUGCUGCUAAUGACCAUUAGGACAGCUUUUUACAUGCCUAUCAAUGAUCAAACAUGCUCUUCUGAAAUAUUUUCCUUCCACCUCUGCACAUCCUGAGUCAUUUUUUACAGGUACCUUAUCCACAUCAGCACCAAGCCCAAACCCACGAAGUCCAUUACCUUCCCACACACAAACUGCAGUGGACAAAGAAGUACAGUGUGAGUGUAUAAAUAUUUGUGUUGAAAAUAGCAAUUGUCACGGGUGGGGGGCACCAGCAAGUACGUUGCCUAGGCCUAGGGUACCAAACUGGUCAGAAACGGCCCUGAGGACAAGUGACUAUUUUUUGUCAUGAAAAAAAAAAAAUCUAUUGUAGCAUCUACAAGGACAACACCCACUUGGCGAUGAGGAUGCCUACUCAACUAACGCUGCAGCUAUCGAAUAUUUUAGUAAUGGAGUAUUUGACUGAAAAUUCUAUCGAGUAAUCGGAUAAAACAUAUAUUUUUUUAGGUAAAGAGCAAUUAUACAUAUACAGUUGUUCUCCCCACUGUACAUGAGAAAACAAGACAUUUCAUCUAAUAUUAAACCAUUUUCAGUCAAUCAAUGUCUAUAUUUUCGAUGUACAUUGUUGAAAACAGCCAACAAUUGCAUCUCAGAUGUGACGAAAAUUUAAAAAAAAAAAAAAAGACUAAUUCACUGCUUUCGCUCAAAAAACUUGUAGAUCUUACAAAAAAAAACAAAAAACGAAUUUCUUACCUAAAAAUGUCAUUAGCACACAUAUGAUGAGCUGUGAUCUAACAUCAACAUUAAUGACGCCUCCAGGCGCGAAGAUUCAUGGUCGCAUUUUAUCUAUAAUCCGACUGAAAGAAGCUCCCGCCCGCCACACUCGUGGCCACAUACUUGAUGGAGAAAAUACCUGUACUACGAAUCUGAAACGGCACCUUAAAGUUCAACACGCUGAUAUUUAUGCAAAGGUAAGUUAUUAAAAGUCAUUUUAAGAUAUCAUAGACCUAUAGUUUUAUUCAGUGAACAAUCCUAUUUCAUUUCAAUAUGUAUUUAAAGAUUUUUGGUGUACAUGGAGCCCCAAGUUUAGGCUAACAAUUUAGUUAUUUGUGCUGCUAUUAAUAAGCCUUUGAUAGUAAACAAUGUGCAGCCUGCUAACAUCAUGUAAUGGGAAGAACAUUUUGCCAUAUUUGAUCACACAUCACGCGCUUUAAUCUGUAUUUGGACUGUCUAAUACAUCGUGUAAAGACGUGUUGCUGUUCCCCAUAGGUUUAAAAUGACAGCAAAUCUUAAUUGACCUGUAUAAAGUUUGAACAUAUGCAGCAUAUGUGUACAAACAAUGACUGAACUUCUCUCUGUUUAUUAAGCAUGUUGCUGCGUGCUACAUGGGAUUAUGAUAACAGUGUAACGGAGCCCAUUUUUUCCCCCUUGAUCGAUAGUUAUCUCGUUCACUUGCAUUGACGGUAAUAGAUAAGGUUGUAAUGGUACUCAAAAAUCUCGGUUCGGUUCGUACCUCAGUUUUGAGGUCACGGUUCGGUUCAUUUUCGGUACAGUAAGAAAACAAAAUGCCAAAUAUAAAUGUACUCGUUGUUUAUUACACACCUUUGUGCUUUCAGCAAUAGGAACAUUAGCCUAUACAAAGCUAGAAUUCUGCUCAAAAAGUAGCGGGUAUUCAAAAAUAAUCCAACAACAAUUUGCCUUUCAGACCCCGGGUAUUGGAGAAAGCUGAAAAAAGAAGUCCUGUGCUAAAGAGAAAAGCAAUCCCAAUGACAAAGACUUUAACAUGUAUUUUACGAAUGAAAUGCCUCAAUUAAUCAUUUUUUUUUCUUAUGAACGGUUUUCAAAAGCUUUAUUGGUGGAUUUUCUCAAGUUAAAGCGCCACAUUUAAUUGUGUAAGCAGGAUUUGUGUAUUAUUCUUAUUAUUUAAUUACAGGUGUUUUAGCUCAUUUCAAUUUAUUUUAUUUAAAUGGGCUAUUAUUUAUUUUAUUAUUUGUUUAUAUUUUACAAAUGUAAUGUAGUAUUCAUUUAUAUUGUAUAUUUUAUGUUGUAUAACUUAAGUUCCUAUGUGAAUAUUAGUUCCUACUUAUUUUCUUGUGGUACGAGGGUUUUGUAUUGAACACGGGGCCGUGUUGGUUAUUAUUGUAGCAGAGAAGACAGCAGCAAAUCAACAAAGACAAGUCAACUGUGCCCCGAUCUACCACUCAAGAGAUCUGAUGGAACUAAAAAAUCCCCGAGGUCAAAAUGUCGUCUAGUAUUGCCACAGUGUUCAAAAAUAAGCCAGACUCGUUGGAACAAUGUGCCAAAGAAAUGCGCUUUUUCUGUGGAUUGGGCGUACCGAACUACCUGCUUCCAUAGGUGAGUUACUGCAGUGCAAUUCAAUUUGGACUUGUUCUGAGUGGGCCAGGAGUUGGUUAUUAGUUUUGUGUUGUUUUACAGAUAAUCAGGGUUUGGCUUAUUUUAAUUUCCAAACAUGUUAUGUACGCUUCCUUAAGUUCCUUAUAAAUUCUAAGCUACAUAUAACUUGUACCUCGCUGCAUGGCCGGAAUUUUAUUUUUACUGCAUUCAUUGCGUAAAUUUCACCAAAAUAAAGCUAGUGUUGUGAAAAUAAGUGUUGACUGUCAAUGUUCAUUCGAAAUUGUUGGAAACCGUUAUUUUUUUUAACUUAAAACCUUGUGUAUCCAUCAACCAAUACUAGUCCAAAAUUUUUUGAGUGUUCGUCAACUAAAACUUGUUUGAAUAAUCAUCGACUAAGACUUAACACAUUUUGAAAUGACUAAAAUGAAUGAAUGAAUGAAUGAAUAAAAUAUGACUAAGACUUAUAAGUAUUUUCGUCCAAAAGUCUAAGACAAUCUAGUCGAUUGACAAAAGCGAGAACUUUUGUCGAAAAGACAAAAGACUAAAAUGAAAUGAGCUGCCAAAAACAACAAUGCCUGGAAGUGGCCCGGAAGUCCUUUUCUCUCUUGUAUUUCCCCUUUGCAAACAAGCUCAUUACAUUACUGCAAACAAGUCAAUUUAACUGUGAAGGAGUUUGUAAGAAAAACAAAACAAAACACAAUCUUACUGGUCGCAAAUGUGCAAGUAGAUGAAAAAAAUACUCGCUCUGGCUCUAAUUAUAGUUGCAAAAUGCCCCCAUUUGGGGGCAGUCUGGAGUUCUGGAAACUAUA
This is a long non-coding RNA of Corythoichthys intestinalis (scribbled pipefish), 4400 nucleotides long. RefSeq lists it as uncharacterized. The transcript is spliced from 3 exons. Lineage: Eukaryota; Metazoa; Chordata; Actinopteri; Syngnathiformes; Syngnathidae. The record is from RefSeq and is a predicted model, not a curated record.